UAGUCAUAUGCUUGUCUCAAAGAUUAAGCCAUGCAUGUCUAAGUAUAAACAAAUUUAUACCGUGAAACUGCGAAUGGCUCAUUAAAUCAGUUAUAGUUUAUUUGAUGGUCUUUUUCUACAGGGAUAACUGUGGUAAUUCUAGAGCUAAUACCUGCAUAAAAACCCCGACUUCUGGGAGGGGUGUAUUUAUUAGAUUCAAAAUCAAUGACGUUCGCGUCUUCUGAUGAUUCAUAAUAACUUCUCGAAUCGCAUGGCCUUGUGCCGGCGAUGCUUCAUU
RNAcentral lists this ribosomal RNA (277 nucleotides) under uncultured eukaryote. RNAcentral describes it as "partial 18S ribosomal RNA". It matches the Rfam family "Eukaryotic small subunit ribosomal RNA", at positions 21 to 299 of the family's 1831-position model. The record is from RNAcentral.